GAUGUGGAUGGAGUUUUAACUUGUGAUCCAAACAUUUACUGCGGAGCUCAACCUGUUCCACACCUGACAUUUGAUGAGGCAGCUGAACUUGCUUACUUUGGUGCCCAGGGAGUUAAUUCAACAGGAGCUUGAUCACGUGGUAGAGGAACUUGAGAAGAUAGCUAUUGUAAAUCUGCUUCAACACAGAUCAAUUAUCUCUCUCAUCGGAAAUGUUCAGAGAUCUUCAUUCAUAUUAGAGAAGGGCUUCCGGGUUCUGCAACCAAUGGGAUUAAUGUCCAGAUGAUCCCCCAAGGUGCAUCUAAGGUCAAACCUCUCUCAACUUCUUUGCCUAUAUAUGAUUCUAUACAAAAGGUUUAGGGGAUCUAAUUUUUACUUCUCGUAAUACACACUCGUCUGAAUAUUUGAUGAUAUCAUCAGGUAAACAUCUUAUUGAUAGUGUAUAAUGAUGACGCAGAGCAUUGUGUGAAGGUUCUUUCAUGUUUGUUGGAAAAUUA
This is a non-coding RNA of Camelina sativa (false flax), 494 nucleotides long. NCBI's taxonomy places the organism in Eukaryota, Viridiplantae, Streptophyta, Magnoliopsida, Brassicales, Brassicaceae. The record is from RefSeq and is a predicted model, not a curated record.